Molecule: non-coding RNA, 86 nt
Filed under: Palpitomonas bilix
Lineage: Eukaryota
Source: RNAcentral
AUGGGCAUGCUUCAGAUCUUCCUAUGCUUCUGCCCCAGCUAUCUCAUUUACUACGGGCUACUCGGCCAGCGCUAUUUCGGCGUGUU